AUUGAACGCUGGCGGCAUGCUUUACACAUGCAAGUCGAACGGUAACAGGCCGCAAGGUGCUGUCGAGUGGCGAACGGGUGAGUAAUGCAUCGGAACGUGCCCCGUCGUGGGGGAUAACUACUCGAAAGAGUAGCUAAUACCGCAUACGAUCUAUGGAUGAAAGCGGGGGACCGUAAGGCUUCGCGCGAUUUGAGCGGCCGAUGUCAGAUUAGGUAGUUGGUGGGGUAAAGGCUCACCAAGCCAACGAUCUGUAGCUGGUCUGAGAGGACGACCAGCCACACUGGGACUGAGACACGGCCCAGACUCCUACGGGAGGCAGCAGUGGGGAAUUUUGGACAAUGGGCGCAAGCCUGAUCCAGCAAUGCCGCGUGCAGGAAGAAGGCCUUCGGGUUGUAAACUGCUUUUGUACGGAACGAAACGGCUCUGGUUAAUACCCGGGGCUAAUGACGGUACCGUAAGAAUAAGCACCGGCUAACUACGUG
This 482-nucleotide ribosomal RNA is filed under the name uncultured bacterium. RNAcentral describes it as "partial 16S ribosomal RNA". It matches the Rfam family "Bacterial small subunit ribosomal RNA", at positions 30 to 507 of the family's 1533-position model. The record is from RNAcentral.